RNAcentral lists this ribosomal RNA (166 nucleotides) under Brevibacillus sp. RNAcentral describes it as "partial 16S ribosomal RNA". It matches the Rfam family "Bacterial small subunit ribosomal RNA", at positions 505 to 671 of the family's 1533-position model. Lineage: Bacteria; Bacillati; Bacillota; Bacilli; Caryophanales; Paenibacillaceae. The record is from RNAcentral.
GUGCCAGCCGCCGCGGUAAUACGUAGGUGGCAAGCGUUGUCCGGAUUUAUUGGGCGUAAAGCGCGCGCAGGCGGCUAUGUAAGUCUGGUGUUAAAGCCCGGGGCUCAACCCCGGUUCGCAUCGGAAACUGUGUAGCUUGAGUGCAGAAGAGGAAAGCGGUAUUCCA